GAAUUUGAUGCCAUGUUUGUGGGUAUGUUUUUGAAUCUCUAUUCCUAUUAUCUGCAAUUGGUUCUUUGUAGAUUAGUUGUGGGUUCUUUUGUGUUAUUCAAGGCAGUUCCUGGAUUCUGGAUGUUAAAAGAACACGAAAUUUACGGUCCUAUUUUAGAUACAGUGAUUAUUGGUUGCUAGGUGUGUUUAUAUGAUGUUUUCGG
This 203-nucleotide unclassified non-coding RNA is filed under the name Hevea brasiliensis (rubber tree). Lineage: Eukaryota; Viridiplantae; Streptophyta; Magnoliopsida; Malpighiales; Euphorbiaceae. The record is from RNAcentral.